GACGAACGCUGGCGGCGUGCUUAACACAUGCAAGUCGAACGGAAAGGCCCUGCUUUUGUGGGGUGCUCGAGUGGCGAACGGGUGAGUAACACGUGAGUAACCUGCCCUUGACUUUGGGAUAACUUCAGGAAACUGGGGCUAAUACCGGAUAGGAGCUCCUGCUGCAUGGUGGGGGUUGGAAAGUUUCGGCGGUUGGGGAUGAACUCGCGGCUUAUCAGCUUGUUGGUGGGGUAGUGGCUUACCAAGGCUUUGACGGGUAGCCGGCCUGAGAGGGUGACCGGCCAACAUGGGAAUGGGAUACGGGCCAGACUCCUACGGGAGGGAGGAGUGGGGAAUAUUGCACAAUGGGCGGAAGCCUGAUGCAGCAACGCCGCGUGCGGGAUGACGGCCUUCGGGUUGUAAACCGCUUUCGCCUGUGACGAAGCGUGAGUGACGGUAAUGGGUAAAGAAGCACCGGCUAACUACGUG
RNAcentral lists this ribosomal RNA (468 nucleotides) under uncultured bacterium. Its description in RNAcentral is "partial 16S ribosomal RNA". It matches the Rfam family "Bacterial small subunit ribosomal RNA", at positions 28 to 507 of the family's 1533-position model. The record is from RNAcentral.